This is a long non-coding RNA of Clupea harengus (Atlantic herring), 1184 nucleotides long. The record is from Ensembl. Lineage: Eukaryota; Metazoa; Chordata; Actinopteri; Clupeiformes; Clupeidae.
CCCCCACAACGAAAAUUUGACAUCUUUUUCACAUGCAGAUGUCAUGUGCUGUUGUAAACAAUGCAACUGGUGGGUAGUGGAGGUGGCAAGGUGCUCAGUGUUGCCAGAUUGGAAAUGGCGAAGUAUCGUACCAAAGGCUCCAAAUGAUCGUAUUUGGAGGAUAUAUAUCGUACGUCUGGCAACACUGAGGAGGCGGUCGACCAAUGACAGUUCUCUCUCUCUACAGUCAGAGCUUGCGCAAGAAGGUGGAACGUAAGGGAGAUACCUUUUCUAAAACUUGUAAGGGCGUAAUAACUAGUUUGUGAAAGACCCAGAGAAACACAAAUAUCCGACAAAGGCAAAAUCCCGGACGAUUAGGACGUCUGGUCAUCCUAGUUUUGUACUGAUUAAUGCUUUCUUCUAGUGAUUGAGAUGUGCGCUAACAUUGUUUGUUUGAUUCUGUUUAUGUAGAACCACACACUCACACCCUCACUUACCUGUUCUUAAUAAUAAACGUCAUUGAAGAUAUCAUCUGUGCAUUCUUACCGAUGCACCACAGUGGCCACACCCUCCUUCCCAACCAGCUACAGUUACAGUUCAAUGUAUUAAGUUAUUGAGCCCUCAUUAUAAUUGGGGAUUAGAUCAACAUCACAUCACACCACCUCAGUGAGUAGGAAAAAAAGGUCAGAUUUCAACAUCACAUCACACCCCCUCAAUAAGUUUGAUGAUUGCAUCUUUUCUCUGUUGUUCCUCAAUUGCAUAUCACUUUGGAAAAUAAUGUGUCUGGUAAAUGACUGAAUGUAAAUGUAAAAUACACUGUUCUGUAAAUGCUCGGGAGUUACCAACCAAAAGUGCUUGUCUCACAUCCUUCAGAAUAGGUGCAGAUUCCUGGGGGACCAGUAGGUCCCUCCUGGCCAGGUGAUCCACUAGUGCCAGGGGGUCCACUGGCUCCACGGGGUCCAUCUUUUCCAGGGGGUCCACUCUCUCCACGGGUUCCUUGGGGUCCACUGGCUCCACUGGCUCCAACAGAUCCUCUGGCUCCAGGGAAUCCACUGGUUCCAGGGGGUCCACGAGGUCCAGGGGGUCCAGGGGGUCCAGGGGGUCCAGUUGUAAUUUGUCCAUCAGACACUUGAAUCACACACACAUGAAGCAUGAAUAGAAACAAAGACACAGAUCUAGACAUAAUGUGAAUCAGGAUCAUAGCC